This is a non-coding RNA of Podarcis muralis (Common wall lizard), 830 nucleotides long. Lineage: Eukaryota; Metazoa; Chordata; Lepidosauria; Squamata; Lacertidae. The record is from RefSeq and is a predicted model, not a curated record.
CAAUUUGAACAUUGGUCUUGAGUUUUCUCCAUCUACAGUCAUGGAUAAGCAGGGAUUCUAAUUGUGUCAGAGUUCCACAGUCGAAAACCAGGGUCUAGAAGCUCUCCCAGAAAUAUUAAGCACAGAAUACAAUGGUGACCUUGAAUAGAGAGUGUGUCUCUUGUUGGAAAGGUAGGCAGUGUGCUCGUGUUUGUGUGUGUAAUUUUCUUGUACGUUUUAUGCUCCUUAUUGCUACCCCCGACAUCUGUGAGCUGAGGAUCCCUUUCCCAUCAUCAUCAUUGGCCCAGAUUGUGCUGGGCUCCCUGGCUCCUGGCCCUGAGCCCCGCAAAGAAGGGAUCAGCAAGGAACUGGAUGUGACGGAGGACAUCUUGCAUCUUGCCAGGCGCCCCUUCUACAAGAGGCAAGUCGAUGGAGAGCAGAUGAAGCCCGGAUUCUGUGUGUGUCCAUUAGCUCCUUCCUGAAGCAUCUCUCCUUGGUGGUGGAAACUAUGGACCUGUUUGGGCCUCCUGUGGCUUGAUAGAUGGUUGCAACAGGAAGCUUCCCCAUAGUCUUGGCUGGACUCUGGACUUGCCCAUGGGCUACUGAUGUCAGAGGAGGCGCUGAACAUGCCAUCCUUAGAGCCAAGAUGCUGCUUUGUGUUCUGGAGCCAGCGGGGAACUCUCUACUCUUGGAUACUCUUGGAUAUUGAUAGAUGGGUGCUGAGAAGCAGGCAAGCCUGGGACUGCCUUGAUAUAAGACAAAGUACAUAGAAUCUGGUCCUCUAAUAAACUAUCCAGUGUGCUUUACAUUUUAGUCUGUAUGUGUUAACUGAUUAAAUAUUUUUGAGCCGG